This 408-nucleotide ribosomal RNA is filed under the name uncultured bacterium. Its description in RNAcentral is "partial 16S ribosomal RNA". It matches the Rfam family "Bacterial small subunit ribosomal RNA", at positions 355 to 755 of the family's 1533-position model. The record is from RNAcentral.
UGGGGAAUUUUGGACAAUGGGCGAAAGCCUGAUCCAGCAAUGCCGCGUGUGUGAAGAAGGCCUUCGGGUUGUAAAGCACUUUUGUCCGGAAAGAAAUCCUUGGCUCUAAUACAGUCGGGGGAUGACGGUACCGGAAGAAUAAGCACCGGCUAACUACGUGCCAGCAGCCGCGGUAAUACGUAGGGUGCAAGCGUUAAUCGGAAUUACUGGGCGUAAAGCGUGCGCAGGCGGUUUGCUAAGACCGAUGUGAAAUCCCCGGGCUCAACCUGGGAACUGCAUUGGUGACCUGGCAGGCUAGAGUAUGGCAGAGGGGGGUAAAUUCCACGUGUAGCAGUGAAAUGCGUAGAGAUGUGGAGGAAUACCGAUGGCGAAGGCAGCCCCCUGGGCCAAUACUGACGCUCAUGCACG